GUUUUAACAAACCCUCAACUCCCUGAAAAUACACAUACUUGUUAACCACAUUUUGUCCCGCCACUCCUACAUGAAAGGGAGCAUGAAGGGAAUAUCAAACAUUAAAGUUUGAUCUCUAUUCCUAGUCAGUGGCCAUGAAAUGAGUUGACUCGGGAAUGCCCACAAGACAAAUGAUUAUGGUUUACAUAAAUAGCAAGUCAAAUUUUGCUACAAGCUCUAUGCCUAUGACCCGAGUGAGCUGCAACCACACAAGUUGACAUCAUAUGUCCACUCAGUAUCUUGUGUCUUGUAAUCAAGGAAUCAGUACAUUCUGACUAGUGUCUUUAGAUCAUCUAAACCACUAAUCCCCACUCACUUGAUAAACUUCUUUUCUCUUUAUCUCACGUGCUGUGUGCGUUGGCAUCUAGACAGGCAUAUGGUAAGGCAAUGGCUGAUAGAAACGCAUGAAAAAUCUUCAAUCUAAAAAGUAAAUACAAUAUUUGAAACAAGAAAAAAGGCCUUAACAUUAAAAGGAGGGACAAAUAGUUCCUAGGUGAUACAAGUUUGAACUUUUGUCCUUUAAAAUCAAUCCUGUAUGACAGUAACAACAUUAUCCUCAGAACUCUUUGGUAGACUGACAUAAACUAACAAAUUGUGUACCUCACAUAUCAUGCCUUGUCAACCACUUCAUAUCCAAAUUUGAACCUAACAUCUUGGCCUUUCUGAAAAUUACAUAUUCUCCAUGAAAAUUCUGCAGCUUCUUUUGACUUCCUCUGUCAAAAACACACCAGAAGACAUUAAUUGCAUAAGGAAGCUAGAAAAAACAGAUUAUAUUAUAAAAUUUUAUUCCCGUUGUACAGCAUUUUAAAUUCAUUAAGCAUACGAAAGACAAAAACUGUAGACAACUGACUCAAUGGCUCCAGUAAGGCUAAAAUGAUAGGAGCAACAAUGAACAACCCUUUUCUACCAAUUACCUUUCCAAUAAGUUUCUCCAGGAACCAAAUAAAACAUGAACCAAAUAAAACACCAACUUCUUUAAAUUCUUUAUCAAUAUUGCACCAUCCCUUAAUAUUCAGCUUAACAAAUUAUCACUGGUCACAGGAAAGGCUUUUUUUGCACGAAUUCUGUAUGUGUGUAACAACCCCCGAUCCAGCAUCAUGACAGCUAAACUGGGAGCGUUUCCUGUAAUUUUCAUAACCUGUUAUAAGAUCUAUAUCUUAAUUUCAUCCAAUCAGUCCACAGUCAUCCCAUAAAAAUUGUUGCAAAAGUGAAUUAAGCAAAAUACAAAUGUUACAUAACAUUUCAUUUCAUUAGAUACAACUUUACAUCUUUAAAUACUUAUACAACUAAUACAAAAAAAUCAUUUACAAGUAGAGAGAGAGCCAACCCUAAUUACACUCUCGACAAAAUACUGCUCCUCUGAUGUAGACUUUAAUGAUCUACUCUUUGUGAAUCCUCCGCUUCAAUAGCUCAACCUAGUUCCAGCAAUAUACUCCCAAUUGCAACCACUUUUCACCAAAAAUCCGAGCCAAAUCAGUUCUUGAUCUUGGGCAGCCACACCAGCUAUUCUGUCUCACCAAUCAGCUCACAAUUCCUUAAUUUCUUCUUUCUCUUUCACUUUGAUUUCAUGCUUUGAUCAUUAAAUCCUUAGUUGAACAGUUGGGGAUAUUGUUGUUUCAUCACUUCCUCGUUUUCCCAAGUAGCUUCUUCAAUUGCAUGAUUCCUCCAUAGCACUUUAAUCAGUGGAACUUGCUUGUUCCUCAAUUCUUUCACUUUACGAGUCAAAAUUGCCACCGGUUCCUCUUCAUAGGUCAAAUCUGGUUGCACUUCAAUUGUCUCCAUAGGGAUGACAUGGGUUGGGUCUGAUCUAUAUCUUCUUAACAUCGAUACAUGAAAGACAUUGUGUAUCUUUGAUAGUUCUAAUGGUAAAGCUAGUCUAUAGGCUACCGGACUCACACGCUCAAUUAUUUCAUAUGGACCGAUAAACCUAGGACUCAACUUGCCUUUCUUGCCAAAUCUUAAAAUCUUCUUCCAUGGUGAGACCUUUAAGAAGACUUUAUCACCUACUUCAUAUUUUAUAUCCCUUCUCUUUAAAUCAGCAUAAGAUUUCUGUCUGUCCAUUGCUGCUUUCAGUUUAUCCUUUAUCAGCUUCACUUUAUCCUCUGUCUGUUUCACCAGUUCUGAUCCCACUAACUUCUUUUCACCCAAUUCUGUCCAGCAUAAAGGAGUUCUGCACUUUCUACCAUAUAAGACUUCAUAAGGUGCCAUAUGAAUGCUAGACUGAUAGCUAUUGUUGUAAGCAAAUUCUAUUAGUGGGAGGUGUUUAUCCCAACUUUUCUCAAAUUUAAUAAUACAGCUUCUCAACAUAUCCUCUAGCACCUGUAUAACUCUUUCGGAUUGUCCAUCUGUCUGAGGGUGGAAGGCUGUACUGAAGUGGAGUCGAGUACCCAAGGCUUUAUGCAAACUUUCCCAAAAUCUUGAUGCGAACUGUGGGUUUCCAUCUGAUAUGAUAGAUACUGAUACUCCAUGCAAUCUGACUAUCUCACUGAUGUAUAAUUCAACAAGCCGAUCUAGUGAAUAGUCUUGUCUAACUGGAAGAAAAUGGGCUGACUUGGUUAAUCUAUCCACAAUGACCCAUAUUGAAUCAUGCUUUCUAUGAGAAGGAGGAAGGCCCGUAACAAAAUCCAUAGUAAUCCGCUCCCAUUUCCACUCCGGUAUAGAGAUUGGUUGUAGUAAACCAGAUGGCACUUGAUGUUCAGCCUUCACUUGCUGACAUGUUAAGCAUUUGGACACAUAUUCUACUAUGUCUUUCUUCAUACCAGGCCACCAGUAAUAUAACUUCAGAUCCUGGUACAUCUUGUUACUGCCUGGAUGCAUAGCAUAAGCAGCAGUAUGUGCUUCCCUAAGGAUAGUCUGCUUUAAAUCACUUACAUUGGGCACAUAGAGUCUGUCUUUGUAAUACAAAUGACCAUCUCCUUCUACCACAUAUUCACCUUCCUUCUCAUCUGACAAUUUACUGACUACUGCCAUUAACUUCUCAUCCGUUUUCUGCGCAUCUUGCACCUGUUGAAUCAGACUGGAUUUAAUCCUCAAUUCAACCACAAUCACACCAUCAGUUGUCAAUCUCAGAUGAGCAUUAAUUGCCUUUAAGACUGCCAAUAACUUCCAACUGAGGGUAUCAGCUACUAUAUUGGCUUUUCCUGGAUGGUAAUCUACGAUGCAAUCAUAGUCUUUAAGCAAUUCCAUCCAUCUCCUCUGCCUCAAGUUUAGUUCUUUUUGAGAAGGCAGGUAUUUCAGACUUUUGUGAUCUGUAUAAAUAUAGCAUUUUUCUCCAUAUAAGUAAUACCUCCAUAUUUUCAAAGCGAAGACAAUGGCUGCUAGCUCCAGAUCAUGAGUAAGAUAGUUUCUUUCAUGUGACUUCAGUUGUCUGGAAGCAUAAACUAUCACUUUUCCUUCUUGCAUCAACACACAUGCAAGUCCAUUCAAUGAGGCAUCACUAUAGAUCACAAAAUCCUUUCCCGAUGUAGGCUGCGUCAACACAGGAGCUUCUGUAAGCAUAGCCUUUAACUCAUCAAAGCUAGCCUGACACUUAUCUGUCCAUUCAAACUUAACACCUUUAUGUAGCAAUUUGGUCAUAGGAUAAGCUAUCAUGGAAAACCCCUUCACAAAUCUUCUAUAGUAUCCAGCCAAUCCCAAAAAACUUCUAAUCUCUGUCACAUUCUUAGGUGGCUGCCAUUCCAAAAAAGCUUCUAUCUUUUUAGGAUCUACCUUUAUGCCUUCUGAGGAUACAAUGUGGCUUAGGAAGGAAACUUCAUUCAGCCAAAAGUCACACUUGCUCAACUUAGCAUACAGUUGCUUGUCUCUCAGAAUCUGCAACACAAUUCUAAGGUGCUGAGCAUGUUCUUCUCUUGUCUUGGAAUAGACCAGUAUGUCAUCAAUGAAAACAACUACAAACUGAUCCAAAUAGGGUCUGAAAAUUCGGUUCAUCAAGUCCAUAAAGGCAGUUGGGGCAUUGGUUAACCCAAAUGGCAUCACUAAAAAUUCAUAGUAGCCAUAUCGGGUUUUGAAUGCAGUCUUAGGAACAUCAGGUUCCUUAACCUUUAACUGAUAAUACCCGGAUCUCAAAUCAAUUUUGGAGAAGACCCCUGCCCCUUUUAACUGAUCAAACAAAUCUUCAAUCUCGGGUAAAGGAUAUUCAUUCUUGACUGUCACCUUGUUCAGCUGCCUGUAAUCAAUGCACAGCCUAAAGGUGCCAUCUUUCUUUUUGACAAAUAGUACUGGUGCUCCCCAAUGUGACACACUAGGGCGUAUAAACCCUUUAUCAAGUAAGUCUUGUAGCUGCAAUUUCAACUCCUUCAAUUCAGUGGGAGCCAUCCUAUAAGGUGCUAUUGAUAUUGGUGCAGUACCAGGGAGCACAUUAAUUAAGAAUUCUACCUCCCUGUCUGGUGAUAACCCAGGUAAUUCUUCAGAAAAUACAUCCUGAAAUUCAUUGACUAUAGGAAUAUCCUGAAUAUUCAAACCCUCCUUUCUAGUGUCUAUGACAUUUGCCAAAAAUGCCUCACACCCCUUUCUAAUUAGCUUCCUGGCUGUAAUAGCCGAGAUCACAUUUGACCGUAAAUUCUGUCUCUCACCAUUUACAACCACAUCAGAAUUAUCAGAAGCUUUUAACACAACCAUUUUUAAUUUGCAAUCAACCACAGCCUGAUGUUUAACCAACCAAUUCAUACCCAGGAUAACAUCAAAUUCAUGGAAAGGCAGUUCUAUCAAGUCGGCAAGAAAUUCCCUAUCAUGCACCCUAAUUGGACAAUCUCUAAACACCUUGUUUACAAUCACGCUAUGUCCUAUAGGAUUAGUUACCACUAUAUCAUGUGACAAUGAUUCAGCAUGUAAACACUUCUCACUUGGUGCAGUAGUGCAAAUAUAAGAAUAUGUAGAUCCCGGAUCAAUCAAUACAUCCACAUCAACAUCAAAGAGUAAAAAUUUAUCAACUAUCACACCAGGAGUAUCUUGAUCCUCUCUAGCUUUCAUCACAUAUGCUCUAGCUGGGGCUCUAUUUUCCUUGGGUCUGUUAACUAUCUCUGAUACCCCUCUCUGAUCGGUCCCAGCUGGUUCUGCUCUGCCUGGCUUCCUGCCACUCUGAGUACCAAGUGUGAAUGCCUGUGUCUGAAUCUGUGGGGCAUCAAUACCCUUCAACUGAGGACAAUCCUUCUUGAAAUGAUCAGUGGCCCCACAUUUAAAACAGGCCCCCAUCAUUUUUCUGCAGGUGCCUGGGUGGGGACGGCCACAAUGCUCACACGGUGCUAAUGCUUGUCGCCUGAAGGAAGCAGUUGGAGAACUAGAAGUGGAACCCUGUUGUUGUGGGCCACGCAUAAAUGGGGUCCCCGGCCUAGUACUGUGGGCUGCUGUCUGACUUUGAGGUCCCUUCAGCUUCUUAUUACUAGAGGAGAUAUUGCUCGGUUGUCCCCUCUUCUGAUCUCUAUUCUUUCUGCUUUGUUCUUCUACCUUAACUCUUUCAAUGCUUAAGGCAGCUGACACCAAUCUGGAGAAGUCAUCUAUCUGCAUGCUAGUGAGUUGGAGUCUGAGGUAAUCAUUCAAGCCAUCCUCAAACCUCCUACAUCUGAUCUCCUCAGUGGCAACUAUCUCCCUAGCAUAUCUACUAAGUCUGAUAAAUUCUCUCUCAUACUCAAUGACUGAUAAGUGUCUCUGCCUCAACUGAAUAAACUCCCUCCUCUUGCUUUCCAAAUACUGUUGGCUGAUGUACUUCUUUCUGAAUUCAGUUAAGAAUAGAUCCCAGGCAAUGUCCCGUGGAGGUUGUGCCUUCUUUGCCUGAUCAAUUGUUGUCAACCACCACUGGUAUGCCUCUUCUUGUAACAGAGAUACUGCACACUCUAAAUUCUGAUCCGAUGUGCAGUAGAGCUGUUGUAGAACCCUCUCUGUCCUUUUCAACCAGAAUUCAGCAACGGAGGGAUCAUCAUCCUUCUUGCCAUAAAAGUCUACUGCCCCAUACUUUCUGAGUUUCUCUAAAUGACUUCUUUGUGGAGCCUGUGGGAUAGCCCAUGUCAUUUGUUUGAAGAAGUCUGUCAUUUGUUGAAAUAGGGCAUUCUGGCCUUGAUUAGAUGCGCUAGCCGAGGCUUGAGGAGAAACAUUUUCUGAGUUUCUUUGACCUACACUGAUGGGGCUGUUACUUUCUGCAACCUCAUCUGUGGCUCGUUGCGAAGCGGGAUCCAUACCUAAUCCCCUAAUUAGACUCUGGACAAAAUACUGCUCCUCUGAUACAGACUUUACUGAUCUACUCUUUGUGAAUCCUCUGCUUCAGUACCUAAGGAUAGAAGCAUCUUAUCAUUGCACUAAACUAGUUUGGUGCCCCAACUCUUGUAUCUGGAGCUCCAUGAACCUAACGGCAAGUGGGUUUUAGAAUCAAGAGGGAAUUUCUCCUUGGCAUGG
Molecule: unclassified non-coding RNA, 6423 nt
Filed under: Hevea brasiliensis (rubber tree)
Lineage: Eukaryota; Viridiplantae; Streptophyta; Magnoliopsida; Malpighiales; Euphorbiaceae
Source: RNAcentral